AUUGAACGCUGGCGGCAGGCCUAACACAUGCAAGUCGAACGGUAACAGGAAGCAGCUUGCUGCUUCGCUGACGAGUGGCGGACGGGGGAGUAAUGUCUGGGAAACUGCCUGAUGGAGGGGGAUAACUACUGGAAACGGUAGCUAAUACCGCAUAACGUCGCAAGACCAAAGAGGGGGACCGUCGGGCCUCUUGCCAUCGGCUGUGCCCAGAUGGGAUUAGCUAGUAGGUGGGGUAACGGCUCACCUAGGCGACGAUCCAUAGCUGGUCUGAGAGGAUGACCAGCCACACUGGAACUGAGGCACGGUCCAGGCUCCUACGGGAGGCAGCAGUGGGGAAUAUUGCACAAUGGGCGCAAGCCUGAUGCAGCCAUGCCGCGUGUAUGAAGAAGGCCUUCGGGUUGUAAAGUACUUUCAGCGGGGAGGAAGGGAGUAAAGUUAAUACCUUUGCUCAUUGACGUUACCCGCAGAAGAAGCACCGGCUAACUCCGUGCCAGCAGCCGCCGUAA
This 506-nucleotide ribosomal RNA is filed under the name uncultured bacterium. RNAcentral describes it as "partial 16S ribosomal RNA". It matches the Rfam family "Bacterial small subunit ribosomal RNA", at positions 30 to 523 of the family's 1533-position model. The record is from RNAcentral.